AUACGUAGGGGGCGAGCGUUGUCCGGAAUUACUGGGCGUAAAGGGCGCGCAGGCGGAUAUUUAAGUCAGCUGUAAAAGGCAUGAGCUCAACUCAUGUAUGCGGUUGAAACUGGGUAUCUAGAGUGCUGGAGAGGUAGGCGGAAUUUCCGGUGGAGCGGUUAAAUGCGUAGUUAUCGGGAAGAACACCAGUGGCGAAGGCUGCUUACUGGGCAGCAACUGACGCUGAGGCGCGAAAGCCAGGGGAGCGAACGGGAUUAGAUCCCCCGGUAGUCCUGGCCGUAAACGAUGAAUGCUAGGUGUGGGUGUCGAGAGGCAUCCGUGCCGGAGUUAACGCGAUAAGCAUUCCGCCUGGGGAGUACGAUCGCAAGAUUGAAACUCAAAUGAAUUGGCGGGG
Molecule: ribosomal RNA, 394 nt
Filed under: uncultured bacterium
Lineage: Bacteria
Description: partial 16S ribosomal RNA
Rfam family: Bacterial small subunit ribosomal RNA
Source: RNAcentral